CGGGGAGUAUUGGACAAUGGGCGAAAGCCUGAUCCAGCCAUGCCGCAUGAGUGAAGAAGGCCUUUGGGUUGUAAAGCUCUUUUAGUGAGGAAGAUAAUGACGGUACUCACAGAAGAAGUCCUGGCUAACUCCGUGCCAGCAGCCGCGGUAAUACGGAGAGGGCUAGCGUUAUUCGGAAUUAUUGGGCGUAAAGGGCGCGUAGGCUGGUUAGUAAGUUAAAAGUGAAAUCCCGAGGCUUAACCUUGGAACUGCUUUUAAAACUGCUAACCUAGAGAUUGAAAGAGGAUAGAGGAAUUCCUAGUGUAGAGGUGAAAUUCGUAAAUAUUAGGAGGAACACCAGUGGCGAAGGCGUCUAUCUGGUUCAAAUCUGACGCUGAGGCGCGAAGGCGUGGGGAGCAAACA
RNAcentral lists this ribosomal RNA (402 nucleotides) under uncultured bacterium. Its description in RNAcentral is "bacterial SSU rRNA". It matches the Rfam family "Bacterial small subunit ribosomal RNA", at positions 355 to 774 of the family's 1533-position model. The record is from RNAcentral.